AUUGAACGCUGGCGGCAGGCCUAACACAUGCAAGUCGAACGCGUGGCGGACGUGUGAGUAAUGUCUGGGACACUGCCUGGUGGAGGGGGAUAACUACUGGAAACUGUAGCUAAUACCGCAUACCCUCAUGUGUGCCCAUAUGGGAUUAGCUUGUUAGUGGGGUAACGGCUCACCAAGGCGACGAUCCCUAGCUGGUCUGAGAGGAUGACCAGCCACACUGGAACUGAGACACGGUCCAGACUCCUACGGGAGGCAGCAGUGGGGAAUAUUGCACAAUGGGCGAAAGCCUGAUGCAGCCAUGCCGCGUGUAUGAAGAAGGCCUUAGGGUUGUAAAGUACUUUCAGUGGGGAGGCGUUACCCGCAGAAGAAGCACCGGCUAACUCCGUGCCAGCAGCCGCGGUAAUAC
This 406-nucleotide ribosomal RNA is filed under the name uncultured bacterium. RNAcentral's name for it is "partial 16S ribosomal RNA". It matches the Rfam family "Bacterial small subunit ribosomal RNA", at positions 30 to 526 of the family's 1533-position model. The record is from RNAcentral.